GUAGUAAGAGUAUGAAUAAGUAUGUUUGCCUUCCAAGCAAGAGGUCCUUUUAGGUUACUAUU
RNAcentral lists this transfer RNA (62 nucleotides) under Mactra quadrangularis. Its description in RNAcentral is "tRNA-Gly". The record is from RNAcentral. Lineage: Eukaryota; Metazoa; Mollusca; Bivalvia; Venerida; Mactridae.